UUCAGUUUGUCAAAAGAGAAGGUUGUUGAAAAACAUAAAAAAAGUAAUGGAUUGCAUGAAAGAGCGCUCACUCAUUGGAAUAGGUUGAGACAAAUUUCAUAUUUAUGUUGUUAGCAAUUAUUGAGCCAUGAUUAUGGGUUGUGGUGAUUACGUGGAUUGUAUUUAACCCAUUAAUGAAAAUCAUAUCACUAAAGAACAUAAUUGAAAGAAUAGAUCAGAUUGAAAUUGUAAUAAGCUCAAUUUGCCCAGCCCGUUACAAACCAAAAAACAAUAAUAAAGCUAAAUAAAAUAUAAAGUCCAAUUUUUAAAUAGUCCAUCAUCAAAGUCCAAAUUACAAGACAUUACAAACCUAAACCCAAACCCAAAUUUAAAACCCAUUACAUUAAUACCAAUUACAGCCCAAAAUUACAUCGACCCAAAUAGCCCAAAAUACUUUAGAAACAGAAACCCUAGGGUUUCUACCUCUAGCGCCGCAGCUAGGUUCCAGCCCACAGCGCCGUACGGCCUCCUGGCACCACAGCCACGCCCACGCCUCUGUACGCCAAUGCACAGCCCCCGUACAUGCGCCACGCACACCCCGUACCUGCAAGCAAAUACAAAAACCACAGCACAACAAAGAGGGAAAAACAAAAAAAGGAAAGUGUAUUUUUCUUUUCAUUUUUUUGUUUCGGCUAUAAAAGCCAUGUAGUGAUUAAUGUAAUUUUUUUUUACACACACUAAUACGCAGAUUAAAUAGAAAAUUCGAAAGCAAUUUUUCCAAAAGGUGAUCUCGAGUUUUUUUUUCUGUUUCUUUUCCUUUUGAAUCUAUUUUUGCCUUUUUUUAGAGUUUGCAUGUGGUUUUCUGUAUAAGGAAUUAAAAGAAGGAAAGCAUAUCUUCAAACGAGCCAUCGGAGGCCAUAUCUUCUUCGUUGAAAUCGAAGCUUGAGAUAGGUUUUCGAGGCUAAAAAAUCUGACCUUCUGAGGCGAGGUUUAAAAUAGGGAUAUGGAAUGAUUUCAUUGCGAGCUAUCAUCCAUCGAUUUCAAUGGUGGAAUGGUGGCAAUUGAAGGGUCAAAAGGGGAGGGAAAAGCCUCAAAGUCUGUUGCGCCGAAACCCUAAUAAUUGGGUCUUCGGUUUAUGACUCAGAGGAAUGGCAAUUUGCCAUUCAAUGGCUUUUAAUUUUGGGAAUAAAACGAAACGGUGCCAUUUUAAGGGAAAGGGUUCGUGAGUCAAGCCGUUCCAGGACCCGAAUCAGCGCCUUUGCGCUUCAAAUGGGUUAUUCGCGUAGCAGGUCCUCCCCUUUCGCAUGUGCAUUCAAUCGCACCUUAUCUGCUUUGCUUUGUUUUUUUUAAAUUAGCUCUUUAAUUUGUGCGUAUUUGCAUUUUAGUCCAUUAAUGAAAAUCAUAUCACUAAAGAAACAUAUUUGAAAGAUUGGAUCAAAUUGAAACAUUGUAUUCUUAGUUGGCAAGAGCUCAUGUUUACACUUAGCAAUUAGCAAGUCUUGAAAUAUUCCAUAGAAUUGUGAGAAUUUUAUAAAUUAUUGUAUUGAAAAUUUAAUUUAUAUCAUAACUGAGAGAUAU
This 1557-nucleotide long non-coding RNA is filed under the name Gossypium barbadense (sea-island cotton). RNAcentral describes it as "long non-coding RNA (GBAR_LNC005804)". Lineage: Eukaryota; Viridiplantae; Streptophyta; Magnoliopsida; Malvales; Malvaceae. The record is from RNAcentral.